UACUAAUAAUUAGUUAAGCGUGUUCGCUUAUUGGUGUAUUGAGUUAAGAGAAAGCAGAGAAAGAGGAUUCAAACUAAAUCACUGAGCUUUCCAUGCUCAUGGACUAGUAAUUAAAAUUUCUUGAAGGGAACAAUUUCCUAAUUAUUGAUUGUCAACACUAUGAAAUGUGACAUUUUCCCAUGGAAGACCUUGAAAGAAUUUUAGACAUUUAUCCUUGGAAACAAAGUGUCUCGAUGAUAAUUGAAGAGAUAGACUUGUGUUGUAUCUUCUACAAAUCAUCUGACGGAGGUGCCGUGACUAUAAGACAAACACUUCUAAGAGACAAUAGGACGACACGGCGUACAUACUGUUGUUAAUUGACUAACAAAGAAUGUUUUCCAGAUGAAGCUUAUCUAUUAAGAAAGUUGGCAGUAGUUUAAGAAAAAAUAAAUCAAAGAAACAAGAUUAGAAAACAAGAAACUAACAUCAAAUAUAUCAGGACAGAUUCUCAAUCUCUCUCUAUUAUACGUGUUCUUUGUUGUUAGACAUUGAAAUGAACUUUUAUUUAAUGCACCAUGCAAGGCGUCUAGCCCUCAUUGAUAGAGUGAAAAAAAGGCGAUCGUUUUAUAAAAACAGGGAUCAGCAUUUAUCGUUUUCAUGUGUGGCCAGCAGAAUGCCUAGAAACAGAUCUUGUGGUUGCUUUAUCUGUAAACUAAACAAAUUGGAUAUUAAAAGUAUUCAUGUCAUAGUGAUGUUCUAACAUUCACAUAUAGUUUGAUGUACUAACAUUCAAAUACAGUUUGAUGUAGGCCUACUAACAUGCACAUACAU
Long non-coding RNA from Biomphalaria glabrata, 810 nucleotides. RefSeq lists it as uncharacterized. The record is from RefSeq and is a predicted model, not a curated record. Lineage: Eukaryota; Metazoa; Mollusca; Gastropoda; Planorbidae. The transcript is spliced from 4 exons.